AGUGAAGAGAAAGAACAGGAACAAGACAUAAUAUGACAAUACAUGACACUAUAACUGAUUCAAGUAUUUUUAGCCAGACCCUAACUGGUAUGUUGAAUUUGAUGUUCCUUUUGAUGGCAUAGAAGGCCCUUCUUGCCUUGUCUCUCAGAUUGUUCAAAGCUUUGUGGAAGUUACCUGUUGCGCUGAUGUUUAGACCGAGGGCCCAGGUCCGACAGAAUCUGUGCAUAAGAUCUAGGUGCUGCUGUAGGCCCUCCUUGGUUGGUGACAGAAGCACCAGAUGUCGUCUGGAGAUAGAGAGGAGGACCAAGAUGCGGCAUGAUAAAAUGAAGUGUUUCCAACUGAUAAAAUUAUCAUCAGACCAUGAUUCUAGACUACUAUCAUCAUCAUCAACACCACCACCACUAUCAUCACCAUCACCACCAGUAGAAGGGGAUUCAGGUUCAGCAGACUCUCUUUUUCAGGAACUACAGAACUAAGAUAAGAAGUUAGUGGAGAUGAAGAUGUUCCUCCCACCAGAACUGUUUUCUUUAACUGUCUGCUGUGACUGAGUAUUUCAAACUCUCUUCACUUCAUUAUUUAUUUAAACUUCAUUCCUGCAUUAAUUAAUGUUUUCUA
Oncorhynchus tshawytscha (Chinook salmon) is the source of this 615-nucleotide long non-coding RNA. Lineage: Eukaryota; Metazoa; Chordata; Actinopteri; Salmoniformes; Salmonidae. The record is from Ensembl.